This 31-nucleotide non-coding RNA is filed under the name Rattus norvegicus (Norway rat). The record is from RNAcentral. Lineage: Eukaryota; Metazoa; Chordata; Mammalia; Rodentia; Muridae.
UGAAACGAAACCAUAGUGUCUGAGUGCUAAC